This 253-nucleotide ribosomal RNA is filed under the name uncultured bacterium. Its description in RNAcentral is "partial 16S ribosomal RNA". It matches the Rfam family "Bacterial small subunit ribosomal RNA", at positions 524 to 776 of the family's 1533-position model. The record is from RNAcentral.
GACGAACCACACAAGCGUUAUUCGGAAUUACUGGGCUUAAAGGGUGCGUAGGCGGCGUGGAAAGUUGGGUGUGAAAUCCCUCAGCUUAACUGAGGAACAGCGCCCAAAACUACCAUGCUCGAGGGAGAUAGAGGAAUGCGGAACUUAGGGUGGAGCGGUGAAAUGCGUUGAUAUCCUAGGGAACACCGGUGGCGAAAGCGGCAUUCUGGAUCUCUUCUGACGCUGAGGCACGAAAGCUAGGGUAGCAAACGGG